Molecule: ribosomal RNA, 450 nt
Filed under: uncultured Glomus
Lineage: Eukaryota; Fungi; Glomeromycota; Glomeromycetes; Glomerales; Glomeraceae
Description: SSU rRNA
Rfam family: Eukaryotic small subunit ribosomal RNA
Source: RNAcentral
AGCAGCCGCGGUAAUUCCAGCUCCAAUAGCGUAUAUUAAAGUUGUUGCAGUUAAAAAGCUCGUAGUUGAAUUUCGAGAUCAAAUUGUUGGUCGUGCCUUGGUACGUACUGGCAUUAUUGGUUUCUCCCUUCUGAAGAACCAUGAUGUCAUUAAUUUGGUGUCAUGGGGAAUCAGGACUGUUACUUUGAAAAAUUAGAGUGUUUAAAGCAGGCUCACGCUUGAAUACAUUAGCAUGGAAUAAUGAAAUAGGACGUUUGAUUCUAUUUUGUUGGUUUCUAGGAUCGACGUAAUGAUUAAUAGGGAUAGUUGGGGGCAUUAGUAUUCAAUUGUCAGAGGUGAAAUUCUUGGAUUUAUUGAAGACUAACUACUGCGAAAGCAUUUGCCAAGGAUGUUUUCAUUAAUCAAGAACGAAAGUUAGGGGAUCGAAGACGAUCAGAUACCGUCGUAGUC